RNAcentral lists this ribosomal RNA (1584 nucleotides) under Triticum aestivum (bread wheat). RNAcentral describes it as "partial small subunit ribosomal RNA". Lineage: Eukaryota; Viridiplantae; Streptophyta; Magnoliopsida; Poales; Poaceae. The record is from RNAcentral.
AUGGCGGCCCCGUGGUUGCUGCUCCUGCUCUGCGUGGCCGGAGGCGUCCCUCGUGUUCGUUGCCAGAGCGCGCCCGACAGCACUGAUGUCAUCAGCAUCGACUGCGGCCUCUCGGAGCAGAGCAGCUACGUGGACGAUGCCACCGAGCUGGCCUACACCUCGGACGCCGGCCUCAUCGACGCCGGCUCCAACUACAACGUCUCGGCCGAGUACAUCGACCAGUCCCACUGGAGAAGCCACCGGCAGGUGCUCAGCCUCCGCAGCUUCCCCGGGCCACCGGGGCGGCGCGGCUGCUACACGCUCCCGUCCUUCGUGGCGGGGACGUCCAAGUACCUGGUCCGGGCCACCUUCAUGUACGGCGACUACGACGGUCUCAACAAGCCCCCCAUCUUCGACCUCUACCUCGGCGUCAACUUCUGGAAGACGGUGAACAUCUCGAGGCCCGACGCGGUGCACGUCGCGGAGGUCAUCGCCGUCGUCCCGGACGACUCCGUGCAGGUCUGCCUGGUGAACACGCGGUCCGGGACGCCCUUCAUCUCGUCGCUGGAGCUGAGGCCGCUCAAGGACACGCUGUACCCGCAGGCGAACGCGACGCAGGGGCUGGUGCUCCUCGGCCGGCACAACUUCGGCGCCGCCGAUCUGAUCAGGUACCCGAACGACACGUACGACCGUGCGUGGACCCCGUACACCAACCCGGAGGACCAGUGGACUACCAUCUUGACGUCGUCCAGGGUGGCCAUGGAGGUGGAGGAUCGCAAGCCGCUCUACGACGUGCCCUCGGUGGUGAUGCAGACUGCCGUCCGGCCGAGCAACACCACCAGGAACGUCAUGUGGUUCCCCUGGGACGCCGAGCCCAACCACGUCUAUCCCAUGCCUGGGCUCCUGCCUGUCUUCUAUUUGGCGGAGCUGGAGACCGUGGACAGCAAGCAGGAGCGGCGUCUGUUCCUCAUCAGCCUCAACCGGCCCAACUCCUCUCCUUCGUGGCUCAUAGGCGACUUUGAUUACCUUGUCACCACCGUCGUCUCCAGGACUACCGGACGACCCGUCCCGUUCGUCAGCCCCAAGGAGAACCUCGUCAUACUAGGAACCACCAACGCCACGACACUGCGACCGAUCAUGGAGAUCAACUCCACAAUACUACCGCCAUUCAUCAACCCCGCAGAGCUUUUCACCCCUAUUUCCACCGCCGGGGUUGGGACCGACGCUCAGGAUGUAUCUGCCAUCACUGCAAUCAAGGCUAAGUACCAGUUGAUCAAGAACUGGGUGGGUGACCCAUGCGCCCCAAAGAACCUAGUGUGGGAUGGGCUGAACUGCAGCUAUCCCAUCUCCAGACCUCAGAGAAUCACAAGCGUAAACAUGUCAUUUGGCGGUUUGAGUGGUGAUAUAUCAUCAUACUUUGCCAAUCUCAAAGCUAUCCAGUACCUGGAUUUGUCACAUAAUAACUUGACUGGAUCAAUUCCUGAUGGUCUUUCACAACUACCCUCUCUCGUGCUACUAGAUUUGACAGGCAACAAGCUUAGUGGAACGAUUCCGUUCGGCCUUCUGAUACGAAUUCAAGAUGGCAACCUAACUCUUAAGAUAUGA